Molecule: non-coding RNA, 72 nt
Organism: Pangasius djambal
Lineage: Eukaryota; Metazoa; Chordata; Actinopteri; Siluriformes; Pangasiidae
Source: the annotation of a GenBank genome assembly
UCCCUGGAGGACUAAUGGUUAGGCCUCAGCUCUCUCACUGCCAUGGCCUGGGUUCGAUUCCUGGCCAGGGAA